RNAcentral lists this ribosomal RNA (446 nucleotides) under uncultured bacterium. RNAcentral describes it as "partial 16S ribosomal RNA". It matches the Rfam family "Bacterial small subunit ribosomal RNA", at positions 338 to 795 of the family's 1533-position model. The record is from RNAcentral.
CCUACGGGAGGCAGCAGUCGAGAAUCAUUCACAAUGGGGGAAACCCUGAUGGUGCGACGCCGCGUGGGGGAAUGAAGGUCUUCGGAUUGUAAACCCCUGUCAUGUGGGAGCAAAUUAAAAAGAUAGUACCACAAGAGGAAGAGACGGCUAACUCUGUGCCAGCAGCCGCGGUAAUCCAGAGGUCUCAAGCGUUGUUCGGAAUCACUGGGCGUAAAGCGUGCGUAGGCUGUUUCGUAAGUCGUGUGUGAAAGGCGCGGGCUCAACCCGCGGACGGCACAUGAUACUGCGAGACUAGAGUAAUGGAGGGGGAACCGGAAUUCUCGGUGUAGCAGUGAAAUGCGUAGAUAUCGAGAGGAACACUCGUGGCGAAGGCGGGUUCCUGGACAUUAACUGACGCUGAGGCACGAAGGCCAGGGGAGCGAAAGGGAUUAGAUACCCUAGUAGUC